UAAGGGCCACUCCUGCUGAGGCUGCAUGAAAGGGGCCUUAGGCAUUUCAGCUGCUGCUGGGUAUGGCUGGGAUUUCAGUGUGGAGGCUGCAUUGCUGAGAUCAUGGAGGGAACAGAGGUGGCUUUGGGAAGUGUUGGUUCCUGUGUGAGCACGAAGGAGGAACAGAGCAAGGCAGACCUGCAUCCUUUUAACUCUGCCACAGUGGAUCUGCACAGGCAAAUGCUCAUCCCUCCUGUAGAAGAAAACCAAGUUAAAAAAUGUUCAAAACAUUCUCAGAUUUUC
Chiroxiphia lanceolata (lance-tailed manakin) is the source of this 282-nucleotide long non-coding RNA. RefSeq lists it as uncharacterized. Lineage: Eukaryota; Metazoa; Chordata; Aves; Passeriformes; Pipridae. The transcript has 3 exons. The record is from RefSeq and is a predicted model, not a curated record.